This 343-nucleotide ribosomal RNA is filed under the name uncultured bacterium. RNAcentral's name for it is "bacterial SSU rRNA". It matches the Rfam family "Bacterial small subunit ribosomal RNA", at positions 917 to 1269 of the family's 1533-position model. The record is from RNAcentral.
GGGCCCGCACAAGCGGUGGAGUAUGUGGUUUAAUUCGAUGCAACGCGAAGAACCUUACCAGGGUUUGAAAUCAUUUCAAAACUCCUUGAAAGAGGAGCCUCCUUCGGGAUGAAAUGACAGGUGGUGCAUGGCUGUCGUCAGCUCGUGUUGUGAAAUGUCGAGUUAAGUCUCGUAACGAGCGCAACCCAUGUCUCUUGUUGCUCACUGAGUGCUUAAGAGAGACUGCCGAUUAUAAAUCGGAGGAAGGUAAGGACGACGUCAAGUCAUCAUGCCCCUUACACUCUGGGCUACACACGUGCUACAUUGGGUAGAACAAUAAGUUGCUAAGUUGCGAAACCAAGCG